AUCGUCUCCUGUCCCCACAAGCAGACACUGACUUCUAGCUCACCUCUGGGGACUCAAAGAGCAUAUUCUUCUUGCUCAGCCCCCCAAACUUCUGCCAAAUAAACAGCAUCCACAGAUAAGUACCGCCUGCAAUCACCAAGCCACUUUGGACCAAGCCUCCAGUGGCAUCAUGAUCACCCCUCAUUCCUUUAGGGGGCUCUGUGAUGUCAUCUCUUCUCCCAGAUCUUAGCCUGUCGCGAAGUGCAGUCCUGUGCCUGCUAGGUCCUUUGAUGCCAGCCUUUAGCUACUUCAACACCUGCGAUCAGACUCCUCAAGUUCAAAUGCAAGCACCACCUCAUUCUGUCUGUUUGAAUAAAUCAGACUGCUUCUCAGUGUCUCCUCCAUUUCCUCCUCUGUAAGUGGAGACACUCAGAAACAGAAGGGUCAGCAGGACUGAUUGAACGAAGGCAACAAAGAGCUUAACAGUUUGAUGGGUCUCUUUCCACAUAUCCAGAGCUUUCAUCUCUCUCUGCCUCCAUCCUUGAGCUCCUAACACCCAUCUGCCUACCACAGUGUUUCAUAUCUCAUGCCCAUGUUGUUUCCUUGCCCAGAGCACCCUGCCUAUCCUUCUUCAGCAGGCUCAUUCUGCAGAUGCCCACUGAGGGGUCCUUUCCCCUGGAAACCCACCAAAGCCCCAGCCUGAUCUCAGAGUUCCUCCUGCCUAUUCUCAACAGUGCCUGGCUAAGAAGACAAGUGGGUCCUGAUGAUCCCCUGGCUUCACCGAGGCAGACAUCAUUAAUGGAUCAUGCCAUGAUUCGGAGAACUUUACUGGGAUUAGCUGGAACUGCCUACCUUGACAGUCUAAAGUGGGUGAUUAAGUCAGACAAUGGAUCAUGGAGCUCAGCCUAAGACCUGGCAUAUUCAUCACUGCUGCUUUACAAGGUCCCUGGCGUAUCCAGCCCCACCCCACCCUGUCACCUAGUGGAACUGGUGGUGGUGGGGGGAUGAAUGUAACAGAUUAAGAAUGGAACAAGAAGGCAAGGGACCAUUUCUAGAAAAGGACACGACCUCACAAGGGAACAAAAACAAGUGACCCUUCUCCUCUGCUUGCAGCCAGGGUGGGCUGUAACUGUCUGCAUCAGAAAAGAACUGGGGGUCCUGGAAAGCCAGUGGGCCAAGCAUCUGUCCUCACUUCCCUGUUUCCUACUUGUCAUCAGUGCUCACCUCUGCCAGGUCCCUCGAGUGCAACCAGCACUGUGCAUGGAGCAUGCUGCUCAUGGUGCCGUCCUCCAGACCACUCACUGUCACCCCACUUUUCAUGGGAAAAUGAAGCCAGAUGUCCACAUGUCCCACUCUGCAGCUCAGCAAGGGUUAAGCUCUGGAAGAGAUUCAGCUAUGGAACCUUUGGUCAGCUGGUCACUGGAAUAAAAACUAGAUGGUGUGUGUGUGUGUGUGUGUGUGUGUGUGUGUGUGUGGUAAUGGUGUGUGUGGUAAUGGUGUGUGUGUAUGUGUGGUGAUGGUGUGUGUGUUUGUGUGUUUGUGUGCGCGCGCGCGUGUGGUGAUGGGGGGGGAGCAGGGAUAACAAUGCAAGCUGGGGACUGAGCAGAAUGUUAUACACAAAUCCUAAAGAUUUCACAAUGACAUAUAUAGAUAGAAAAUAAACUACUCCAAAGCAAAAAA
Mesocricetus auratus (golden hamster) is the source of this 1659-nucleotide long non-coding RNA. RefSeq lists it as uncharacterized. NCBI's taxonomy places the organism in Eukaryota, Metazoa, Chordata, Mammalia, Rodentia, Cricetidae. The record is from RefSeq and is a predicted model, not a curated record. The transcript has 2 exons.